Molecule: ribosomal RNA, 497 nt
Filed under: uncultured bacterium
Lineage: Bacteria
Description: partial 16S ribosomal RNA
Rfam family: Bacterial small subunit ribosomal RNA
Source: RNAcentral
GAUGAACGCUGGCGGCGUGCCUAAUACAUGCAAGUCGAGCGAACGGACGAGAAGCUUGCUUCUCUGAUGUUAGCGGCGGACGGGUGAGUAACACGUGGAUAACCUACCUAUAAGACUGGGAUAACUUCGGGAAACCGGAGCUAAUACCGGAUAAUAUUUUGAACCGCAUGGUUCAAUAGUGAAAGACGGUCUUGCUGUCACUUAUAGAUGGAUCCGCGCUGCAUUAGCUAGUUGGUAAGGUAACGGCUUACCAAGGCAACGAUGCAUAGCCGACCUGAGAGGGUGAUCGGCCACACUGGAACUUGGACACGGGCCAGACUCCUACGGGGAGCAGCAGUAGGGAAUCUUCCGCAAUGGGCGAAAGCCUGACGGAGCAACGCCGCGUGAGUGAUGAAGGUCUUCGGAUCGUAAAACUCUGUUAUUAGGGAAAAACAAAUGUGUAAGUAACUGUGCACAUCUUGACGGUACCUAAUCAGAAAGCCACGGCUAACUACGUG